Molecule: ribosomal RNA, 518 nt
Filed under: uncultured bacterium
Lineage: Bacteria
Description: bacterial SSU rRNA
Rfam family: Archaeal small subunit ribosomal RNA
Source: RNAcentral
AACCUCCGCAAUGUGAGAAAUCGCGACGGGGGGAUCCCAAGUGCCAUUCUUAACGGGAUGGCUUUUCAUUAGUGUAAAGAGCUUUUGGAAUAAGAGCUGGGCAAGACCGGUGCCAGCCGCCGCGGUAACACCGGCAGCUCUAGUGGUAGCAAUUUUUAUUGGGCCUAAAGCGUCCGUAGCCGGUUUAAUAAGUCUCUGGUGAAAUCCUGUAGCUUAACUGUGGGAAUUGCUGGAGAUACUAUUAGACUUGAGACCGGGAGAGGUUAGAGGUACUCCCAGGGUAGAGGUGAAAUUCUGUAAUCCUGGGAGGACCGCCUGUUGCGAAGGCGUCUAACUGGAACGGUUCUGACGGUGAGGGACGAAAGUUAGGGGCGCGAACCGGAUUAGAUACCCGGGUAGUCCUAACUGUAAACGAUGCGGACUUGGUGUUGGGUGGCUUUGAGCUGUCUCAGUGCCGAAGGAAGCUGUUAAGUCCGCCGCCUGGGAAGUACGGUCGCAAGACUGAAACUUAAGGAAUU